AGUGGUAAGGUUGAGGGGGAAAGGCCAGACAGCCAGAGAUUUCCGGGCUUGACCUGUUUUAAUUGUGGAAAGGGAGGGUGUAUUGCAUCUAGGUGCUUUGCUCCGAGGAAAGAGACAGGAAAAGGGAAAGCAGCAGUCCCUAUCGGAUGUGCCGUGGUAAUCAGUAAAUCGACAAGAGAGCCCCGGGUAGACAGAGUACGAGAAGGGUCUGAGACUUGUAUGUCAAACGGAACCGUGUCUGUGAGAGAGGGAGACACACCAGUUCCAGUAUGGAUCUGGAGAGAUACGGGGGCUGAGCUAUCGUUGAUCAGCAGUAAGGUAUUUACAGGAGAAUGCUGUUGUUUCGUAUGACAUGGCCCAGAUGGGGCAGAUGUGAGCCUGUCCAUCCGGGAGCCGGGAUUGGAUCAGUCUUUGCCUGGCAUCCCGUCCAUAGCCGUUCCAACAUCAGAGGCCCCAAGUUGGCAUUGCCUGAUGGAAUCCCUGAAGCAUGCAAGCCUCUGCACAAUCCAGGUCGUGGAGAGCAAUCAAAAGCCUGCGCUCACCUUCCGCAUUCACCUUAAUGAUUCGAUCUCCCUCGUCGCUUUAGUUGGCAAAAUGGAGUUGAACGUCGGCUCACACCCCAUCCCACAGCUUGCUCGCCGUGAUGUUCGCGCAUGCUGCCUUUGUCUCCCGUAGCCCUCUUGGAGACUGCAGAGCACCCAAAUGAUCUCCAAUCAGCAAAUAACUGCCUUCAACAGUUCCAGAAUCACAUCCAAGAUGAAAACAGAUGUAAAAGAUAUAGAAGAAGUGAAAUAUAUGGUCAUGAUUUAUUCAGAAGAUGAUGACUGAAGGAGCACUGCAUGCAGGUGCCACCUUGACUGGAAUUCCAUUUCCCUUUCCUGAAAGAUCCCGUUUCACCCUGUUUAUCUCUCUUCCCAAUCUUUUCGUUCUGAUGAGUGGGCUUCAACCAGAAGCACCAACUCUGAUUUUCUUUCUAUAGGUGCUUCAGCAAUCCUUCCACUCUGCCGUCGGAUUUCCGAAUGGACGAUAAAUCAAUAUACACCACAUCACUAUUUACUUGUUAAUUUGUUAAUCUCUUUUUGCACUACUUACUUAAUUUAAUAUCAAAUGUUAGUGUAAUUUAUAGCUUUUUUAUUAUUAAGUAUUGCAAUGUACUGCUGCUGCAGAAUAACAUAUUUCGUGACA
Molecule: long non-coding RNA, 1185 nt
Organism: Hypanus sabinus (Atlantic stingray)
Lineage: Eukaryota; Metazoa; Chordata; Chondrichthyes; Myliobatiformes; Dasyatidae
Exons: 3
Source: RefSeq, a predicted model, not a curated record